CAAACUUCUGGCUGUCUUGUUGAGUGUGUGAAUAAAGGUUGAAAGCCCAGUGAUAACACAUGGGGAAUUCAACAAACUUCUGGCUGUCUUGUUGAGUGUGUGAAUAAAGGUUGAAAGCCCAGUGAUAACACAUGGGGAAUUCAACAAACUUCUGGCUGUCUUGUUGAGUGUGUGAAUAAAGGUUGAAAUCCCAGUGAUAACACAUGGGGAAUUCAACAAACUUCUGGCUGUCUUGUUGAGUGUGUGAAUAAAGGUUGAAAGCCCAGUGAUAACACAUGGGGAAUUCAACAAACUUCUGGCUGUCUUGUUGAGUGUGUGAAUAAAGGUUGAAAUCCCAGUGAUAACACAUGGGGAAUUCAACAAACUUCUGGCUGUCUUGUUGAGUGUGUGAAUAAAGGUUGAAAUCCCAGUGAUAACACAUGGGGAAUUCAACAAACUUCUGGCUGUCUUGUUGAGUGUGUGAAUAAAGGUUGGAAGCCCAUUGAUAACACAUGGGGAAUUCAACAAACUUCUGGCUGUCUUGUUGAGUGUGUGAAUAAAGGUUGAAAGCCCAGUGAUAACACAUGGGGAAUUCAACAAACUUCUGGCUGUCUUGUUGAGUGUGUGAAUAAAGGUUGAAAGCCCAGUGAUAACACAUGGGGAAUUCAACAAACUUCUGGCUGUCUUGUUGAGUGUGUGAAUAAAGGUUGAAAGCCCAGUGAUAACACAUGGGGAAUUCAACAAACUUCUGGCUGUCUUGUUGAGUGUGUGAAUAAAGGUUGAAAGCCCAGUGAUAACACAUGGGGAAUUCAACAAACUUCUGGCUGUCUUGUUGAGUGUGUGAAUAAAGGUUGAAAGCCCAGUGAUAACACAUGGGGAAUUCAACAAACUUCUGGCUGUCUUGUUGAGUGUGUGAAUAAAGGUUGAAAGCCCAGUGAUAACACAUGGGGAAUUCAACAAACUUCUGGCUGUCUUGUUGAGUGUGCGAAUAAAGGUUGAAAUCGCAUUGAUCAAUGUCUCAACCAAAUACUACCCACAUUUCCCAGUUGAAAUGACGUGGUGUGCCCAGUGGGUCUCUCUCUCUUUAUCUCUCUCUCUCUAACAACAUAACGAGGGAGAGUCGGGUUCACGAGGUGUUGUUCCUGGAAAUAGAUGUUCAUCAGGUUUUGUUAAGGGUUCUUUGGUUGUCCUAGAAAGUUGCUUGGUUUUCUGAGAAAACUAAACACCUUCUAGGGGUUACUGAGUGUGUUUUGUUUUACAGAGAGUGUCUUCUCCGCUCUGUGUCUGUUUGUGGGUAAUUCUAAUGAACAGAUACAAUGUUGCCAUGACAAUCCUGCUAAUCAACAGUGUCUACUGUAAUUAUACUUCAUUAGAAUAAGAAUAGUUAUUCAGACGGCAGAUUGUUGCAGGAGCACACAUAGGAUGUGCCCAAAUGACACCCGACUUCCUGCAUAGUGCACUUCUUUAGACAGGAGGCCUAUGGGCCCUGGUUAAAUGUAAUGUACUAUAUAGGGAAUAGGGUGCUAUUUGGUAAGCACACAUACACUCAGCAUUUGUUUGCUGGGAAGAGAGACUGAGGUUGUCACAUUCAGCAAUCAGGUCUGUGUUUCCCUCUUCUGGUGCAGUCAUCACACUCAUCAAACACAUUUAAAAGUCUGUGAUUAAAACCUUUUCCUGGAAUCUAAUCCCAUCCUCCUGUGUGUCAGAGUUCAUUAGUAACAGCAAUGAGGGAAAUUAACUUGACUGUGUGACACUGUGUAUUGUGUGUGUGUCACGCCUUGGUCUUAGUAUUCUGUGUUUUCUUUCUUUAUUUGGUCAGGCCAGGGUGUGACAUGGGUUUAUUUUGUGGUGUGUUUUUGUAUUGGGGUUUUAGUAGGUAUUGGGAUUGUGGCUGAGUAGGGUUGUCUAGGAAAGUCUAUGGUUGCCUGAGGCGGUUCUUAAUCAGAGGCAGGUAAUUUUCGUUGUCUCUGAUUGGGAACCAUAUUUAGGCAGCCAUAUUCUUUGAGUGUGUCGUGGGUGAUUGUUCCUGUCUCUGUGUUAGUGUUCACCAGAUAGGCUGUAUAGGUUUUCACGUUCUUUUUGUUGUUUUUGUUUGUUUGUGUUUUCAUUAUUAAAGAUGUAUCGAACUAACCACGCUG
Oncorhynchus keta (chum salmon) is the source of this 2117-nucleotide long non-coding RNA. RefSeq lists it as uncharacterized. NCBI's taxonomy places the organism in Eukaryota, Metazoa, Chordata, Actinopteri, Salmoniformes, Salmonidae. The record is from RefSeq and is a predicted model, not a curated record. The transcript is spliced from 4 exons.